RNAcentral lists this ribosomal RNA (722 nucleotides) under uncultured Bacilli bacterium. RNAcentral describes it as "bacterial SSU rRNA". It matches the Rfam family "Bacterial small subunit ribosomal RNA", at positions 30 to 737 of the family's 1533-position model. The record is from RNAcentral. Lineage: Bacteria; Bacillati; Bacillota; Bacilli.
CGAACGCUGGCGGCGUGCCUAAUACAUGCAAGUAGAACGCUGAAAGAGGAGCUUGCUCUUCUGGAUGAGUUGCGAACGGGUGAGUAACGCGUAGGUAACCUGCCUGGUAGCGGGGGAUAACUAUUGGAAACGAUAGCUAAUACCGCAUAAUAGCAGUUGUUGCAUGACAACUGUUUAAAAGGUGCAAUUGCAUCACUACCAGAUGGAUCUGCGUUGUAUUAGCUAGUUGGUGGGGUAACGGCUCACCAAGGCGACGAUACAUAGCCGACCUGAGAGGGUGAUCGGCCACACUGGGACUGAGACACGGCCCAGACUCCUACGGGAGGCAGCAGUAGGGAAUCUUCGGCAAUGGACGGAAGUCUGACCGAGCAACGCCGCGUGAGUGAAGAAGGUUUUCGGAUCGUAAAGCUCUGUUGUAAGAGAAGAACGAGUGUGAGAGUGGAAAGUUCACACUGUGACGGUAUCUUACCAGAAAGGGACGGCUAACUACGUGCCAGCAGCCGCGGUAAUACGUAGGUCCCGAGCGUUGUCCGGAUUUAUUGGGCGUAAAGCGAGCGCAGGCGGUUAGAUAAGUCUGAAGUUAAAGGCUGUGGCUUAACCAUAGUACGCUUUGGAAACUGUUUAACUUGAGUGCAAGAGGGGAGAGUGGAAUUCCAUGUGUAGCGGUGAAAUGCGUAGAUAUAUGGAGGAACACCGGUGGCGAAAGCGGCUCUCUGGCUUGU